This 3741-nucleotide ribosomal RNA is filed under the name Triticum aestivum (bread wheat). Its description in RNAcentral is "partial small subunit ribosomal RNA". Lineage: Eukaryota; Viridiplantae; Streptophyta; Magnoliopsida; Poales; Poaceae. The record is from RNAcentral.
AUGAGGCCGGAGACGCGGCUCGACUCGGCGGCGUUCCAGCUCACCCCCACCCGCACCAGGUGUGAUUUGAUUGUGAUAGCCAACGGGAGGAAGGAGAAGAUCGCCUCCGGCCUGCUCAACCCCUUCGUCGCCCACCUCAAGGCCGCCCAGGACCAGAUUGCCAAGGGAGGCUACACCAUCCUCCUCCAGCCGGAUCCGGCGGCCGACGCGCCAUGGUUCACCAGGGGCACCGUCGAGAGGUUCGUCCGGUUCGUGAGCACGCCGGAGGUCCUGGAGCGCGUGACGACGAUAGAGUCCGAGAUACUGCAGCUCGAGGACGCCAUCGCCGUCCAGAGCAACGAAAAUCUUGGACUCAAAUCUGGAGAAGGCCACAACGGGAAACCGGUGGACUCGUCCAUGGAAGGUGGCAAGACAGGUUACAAUACUGAUGGUGAUAAGGCACUUGUUCUGUACAAGCCUGACGCACACCCAGCAUCCCCACUGCAGAAUGACGACGGAGUACAUGAGGAGCAUUCAAAAGUUCAGCUUCUCAGAGUGCUGGAGAUUCGCAAAACUGUCUUACGCAAAGAGCAGGCUAUGGCCUUUGCACGUGCUGUAGCUGCUGGGUUUGAUAUAGACAACCUGAUAUAUUUGAUCUCGUUCGCAGAGCGUUUUGGUGCUUCACGCUUGAUGAAGGCAUGCACACAGUUCAUUGAUUUGUGGAGGCAAAAACAUGAAACUGGACAGUGGAUUGACGUUGAACCUGAAACAAUGUCUGCACGCUCUGAAUUUCCCCCCUUCAAUGCUUCUGGGAUUAUGUUUAUGGGAGAGAAGGAAACAAUGUCUGUCUCUAAUGGAGAUACAAAUGGCGAAGAUGCUGCUAAAGCUGAUCACAGGGCACCUCAUCACCCCCAUGAGUACCAUCAUGGUCCAUAUCAAUCAGGAUAUCCACCAUGGGCAAUGCAUCCUCCUUACCCCAUGCAAGGCAUGCCACCAUAUUACCCUGGGGCGAACCCAUAUUACCCUCCUCCCUAUCCCCCAACAGAUGAUCCCAGGUACAACCACUCGGAGAGGAGACCAUCAAGGAAGCACUCAGCAGACAGCAAGGACUUCGACAACUCCGAUGAGGAAAGUGAUGACCAAAGCGGUUCAGAGAGGGAGAGUUCUCAUGGGCGCAAGUCCAGUAAAAAAGGCAAGCGCUCGGGCAAGAAGAAUGUAAUUGUCAUACGCAAUGUAAAUGUAACAUCAAAGAAGAAGCAUAGGUCAUCAGAGAGCGAGUCACACUCAGGCUCAGAUGUGUCAUCAGAGGAUAGUGAUGAUUCACACAGAAAAUCCAGCCGGAGGAAUCAUCAUAAGCGCUCGAGUUCGAAGAAAAAAGGGGGCAAGAAAACCAUUGAGUCUGAAGAUGAGUACACCAAGGAUGGAAUGUCUAAUGGGCAGCAAGAUGGAGAUCAAGGAAACUGGAAUGCGUUCCAGAACUUCUUGCUCAGAGAUGAAGAGAAGACAAGAGAUAAUAAUGACGCGGAUAUGUUCGCCAGUGAAAGAGAGCCACCACCACCACCUAGGAGGAGAGAGACCACAGGAAAUAUGGAUGAUCCUAUUCUUUUAUCGGAGCGAGGUUCUGCUGAUGUCGAUGAGCGAAAUGGAAUACCUUUCAACACAGCCAAUGGGAGAAUUAGGGCCAGGCAGAUGAUGUCUGGUGAUGAACUUAUGAUGUCUGGGGAAGGUCGGAGCUUUGUGGAUGGUGACAUGAAGGAGAUAGAAGCCGGAGGUGGGGGAUACAGAAGAGGGGCAAAUGAUGACUUCAUGGUUUAUGGACAUGACAACUCAAUGGACAGGGGGAGCUCCUUGGAUCCCCUUGCCGAGGGGCAUUACAAGAGACCCACUCUGGAGGAAAAGAAGAAUGUGCAUGGUGUGGACGAGUCCUUCAUGAUACCUGUUAGCUCCACCUCACAUGAUAACCUUGGAGCUGAUGGCCGUACAGCCAUUGACAUAGAUGCUGAGCUUGGCACAAGUGUUCAGAAAACAUCGGAUGCCAAGGCUGGAGGUGAACUUUUCUAUGAGCCAGAUGAAUUGAUGCCAGAGCGUGGAGUCGAGGAUGUUUCAUUUGGAUAUGAUCCAUCAAUGGACUAUGAUAGCCACAUGCAGAUUCAUCCCGACGUCGGCGUUGAAGAUGCAAAUGCAGAGGAUUUAUCAGCUUGCGUCGAGGAUGAAGGAAAGAUGCCAGCAAAAGACAAGAAGCUUAGAGGUUCACAUGAGGGUUUGGAUAAAAGAAGGAAGGAUGCCUCAGCAAGGAGAUUGUCAGCUCCCAAAGGUCCACUAACUGAUGCGCAGAAACGUGCACAAAACCUACGCGCGUAUAAAGCAGGCCUACAAAAGGAAAAGAAGGAGCUGGAAGCAGAACAGAUUAAACGGCUCGAAAGGCUUAAGCAAGAGAGGCAAAAGAGGAUUGCUGCAAGAAGUGGGGCAUCUAAUCCAAUAUCAACACCGCCGCAGGCUAAAGCAAAACCUUCUCCAAAGGUUUCUCCAAGUACCCACAAGAGUUCGAAGUUCACUGACGCUGAACCAGGAUCCUCUUCGCCUCUAAGAAAAAUUAUUCCUGCCAGAAGCAGUACCCCGGGGAGUGAUCCUCACAAAACAGCCAAAGCAAGCAAACUCGGCGGUGACAGCUCAAGUGCAGUGAGCAAGUCAACCUCAUCCUUGGCUGAGAUCAAAAAGGAGAAAAGUGGGAGAACUGAAUCCUCGAUUGAGCGGUUGAAAAAGCUUGCUGAACCUAAAAGCAAUGCUUCAACUGACCACCCUCCGAAUCCGAAGUCAGUGAGCUCGGACUACCCACGGAGAAGAAGCUUGCCAGAAGAUGUGCAGACCAAGAAAAUCUCCGCUAUAAUGCAGCUCGACGAGACCAAGUCGGCAGCCCUACCAGAGCUGAAAGUGAAAUCCCCACGAACCCCUGCUGCUGUCGUUGUGAAGAAUAAGGCGGCGGCUAAAGUAACAAAAGAGGCGCCACGUGGUGGACCUAAAGCACAUGCUACUUCAGAAAGUAGAGAUGGAAAGAAAUCUUCCAACGGUAAAGUUUCCAGGGUAAGCAGCAGUGAUGACAAUGUGGUGGUUGAGAAGACUGUCGUGAUGCUUGAGAACGAAGUGGUCUCUACGCCUCCUGUUGUUCUACCUUCUGGAAGAAGUGCAGAGAGCGAAACUCGCAGCGAUGACCGAAUGGAGAAUCCCAGUCUGGAACAGGAGUAUAUUGCCAUCAGGGCUCCACCUUCUCCUAUUGAUCUUCCUGAAGAUGCAAAUCCUACAAUCCAUACAUCAGACAACCAGUUGAAUUCGUAUGAGGUGGAUGUGCCUGAGUACAAGAAGGACGAGCUUGAGAAACCAGCCCCGUUGGCUCUGAUGGAGGAGAAACCUUAUGAGGCCCCUUUUGCCAGGGAACCCGAGACACUUGCGCGUGCAGCGAGCGUGAGGGCUCGCGUGCCGGAGCCUGCUGCAUACGCAGUCUCAGCCGAGGAGACACAUGGAGGAAGCGACAAGCCUCGGAGCAAAGAACCGAAAGGCUUGAGGAAACUGCUGAAAUUCGGCAAGAAGAGCCACACUUCAACAAUGGAUUCCGAUGCAUCAUCAGUCGACGAAGCCCCUGCAGGAGAUGGUUCGAUGCUGAAAAACCUCAUUUCGCAAGACGACUCCGCGGGCUCUUCAUACAAAGCUUCUCGGUCCUUCUCCCUGCUGGCGCCGUUCCGCAAGAACAAGGUGGUCGUGCUGUGA